RNAcentral lists this ribosomal RNA (725 nucleotides) under uncultured bacterium. RNAcentral describes it as "bacterial SSU rRNA". It matches the Rfam family "Bacterial small subunit ribosomal RNA", at positions 28 to 762 of the family's 1533-position model. The record is from RNAcentral.
GACGAACGCUGGCGUCGUGCUUAACACAUGCAAGUCACGGGGGCCCGCAAGGGCAACCGGCGAACGGGUGCGUAACACGUGAGCAAGCUACCGAUUUCUGGGGAUAGCCGGCCCAACGGCCGGGUAAUACCGCAUACGUUCACUAGGCGGCAUCGUCUGGUGAGGAAACCUCCGGGGGAAAUCGAGGCGCUCGCGGCCUAUCAGCUAGUUGGCGGGGUAACGGCCCACCAAGGCGACGACGGGUAGCUGGUCUGAGAGGAUGGCCAGCCACAUUGGGACUGCGACACGGCCCAGACUCCUACGGGAGGCAGCAGUGGGGAAUAUUGCGCAAUGGACGAAAGUCUGACGCAGUGACGCCGCGUGUGGGAUGAAGCUCUUCGGGGUGUAAACCACUGUUGCCCCGGGACGAAACUCCUUUUUUGCGAGAGGGACUGACGGUACCGGGUGAGGAAGCACCGGCUAACUCUGUGCCAGCAGCCGCGGUAAUACAGAGGGUGCGAGCGUUGUCCGGAAUCACUGGGCGUAAAGGGCGCGUAGGUGGCUUGGUAAGCGUGUGGUGAAAGUCCGGGGCUCAACCCCGGAUCUGCCGUGCGAACUGCUAGGCUCGAGCAUUGUAGAGGCAGGUGGAAUUCCGGGUGUAGCGGUGGAAUGCGUAGAGAUCCGGAAGAACACCAGUGGCGAAGGCGGCCUGCUGGGCAAUUGCUGACACUGAGGCGCGACAGCGU